Molecule: long non-coding RNA, 1665 nt
Organism: Scatophagus argus
Lineage: Eukaryota; Metazoa; Chordata; Actinopteri; Scatophagidae
Exons: 2
Source: RefSeq, a predicted model, not a curated record
AAAAGCACCGACACAUCACUGUAUCAUCACACAACUGUAUGAUAAUAACGUCCAAAACUGAGGAUCCACUCUCACUGCUUUCUGAGACACGAGGAAUACUUUCAAAAUACUCAUGUUUAAUUCAUUAGCAUGCAAAUUCUGCAGUGCUGGAAGAAGUAGGCUUUUAAAAGUCAUUAUAAAUAUUAGCUUCUUCACUAGUCUCCAAGUAUUAAGUAUAAACUGCGUGAAAAGCUAGAGAUAGAGCUAGAUAAUAAAUAAACCAAAAAGACCUGAGACUGCUAAAAAACAGUCUACUGGGGAGGACCAGCCAGUUGAACUGGGAAAAGUAAAGUUAGUUUUGAUUUUGUCUUUCAUUUGAGACAUCAGCUAGCUUAGCAUAAAGACUGGAAACAGAAGUCAACCGAUAGCUUAGUUUAGCAUAAAGAGUGGAAACAGAGGGCAACAGCUAGCUUAGCUUAGCGUAAAGACUGGAAACAGAGAGCAGCAGCUAGCUUAGCUUAGCAUUAAGACUAGAAACAGAGGACAGCAACUAGCUUAUCUUAGCAUAAAGACUGAAAACAGAGGGCACCAGCUAACUUAGCUUAGUUUUUAAGACUGAAAACAGAGGGCAACAGUUAGCUUAGCUUAGCAUUAAGACUGAAAACAGAGGUCAACAGAUAGCUUAGCAUUAAGACUGAAAACGGAGGUCAACAGAUAGCUUAGCAUAAAGACUGGAAACAGAGGACAACAGCUAGCUUAGCUUAACAUAAAGAUCUGUUCUAUUUUCUAUUCUGUGCUCUAUUUGGUUUAUUCAGUUUGUACAAAAACAAGUAUAAAAAACAUAGUUUGUCUGUUAUGGGAAGUUUCAUUCUGGCACUUUUUCUUGUUAACCAACAUCUGGACACAGUUACCUUGCAGACCCUGAAUAGAAACUACGGGUUAUUUAUCCAGUUGGUCUCAGGAGCCGUAAACUGGAAAAGCACCUUAUCAACCGAGAGAACACAGUAGAAAUGAUAUGAAACCUGUAGCUGUGGUUAAAAUUGGGGUGUCUUUAAAACUGAGUUUUCUUUCACAGCGAGGCUCAUCCCGAGUCUGAAGGUGUGUGAAGUGAGCACAGCUUCAGUCCUGAGGAGUUCAUGUGAGACAGUUAACACUGUGGUGCACAUAAGGUUAACAAAGUCGUCAUCAUCACAGCCUGGAAACAGUCUGGUAACUGGACACCUCAAUGUUUACAGCUCCUGAGUUUCAGUUGGCAAGCACAGACAAGCAGCAGCGGCAGCUCAUUCUCUUAUUGUUAAGGACCGAAGCCUGAUCAGUACUGCUGAACUGUGGAGGAGCCACACAAUGAGAUGAGCUGUGUGGGGUUCAUUAAAUCCAGGACAAAAGGCGUCUCAUGGCCGUGGGGCCGAGAUAACAGAUAGCGUUCUCCUCUGCGGUGGCAUUUAUUGAUCCGAGUGAACGACUAAUUCACCUGUUCUUCUCCUGCUGCAGUCGUCCUCAUUGAGCUCGGCUGCAGGCUGAAUACAGACAUUAUUGGAGACUCGUCUGCGCCUCAUAUUUCACUGCUGCGUGCUGAGGAUGAUGAAGCGCUGCGGCCUGAUGGGAGUGAACUAUUGAUUUAAUGAUGUAUAUCUGUAUACAGAUCCUCCGUCAGAGCCAGGGGCUGGAUUAAAGGGCCGUUACUGA